UAAUACUUAGGGGGCGAGCGUUGUCCGGAUUUAUUGGGCGUAAAGAGCUCGUAGGCGGCUUGGCAAGUCGGGUGUGAAACCUCCAGGCUCAACCUGGAGACGCCACUCGAUACUGCUAUGGCUAGAGUCCGGUAGGGGACCACGGAAUUCCUGGUGUAGCGGUGAAAUGCGCAGAUAUCAGGAGGAACACCGGUGGCGAAGGCGGUGGUCUGGGCCGGCACUGACGCUGAGGAGCGAAAGCGUGGGUAGCAAACAGGAUUAGAUACCCUGGUAGUCCACGCCGUAAACGUUGGGCACUAGGUGUGGGGCCUUAUCAACGGGUUCCGUGCCGUAGCUAACGCAUUAAGUGCCCCGCCUGGGGAGUACGGCCGCAAGGCU
Molecule: ribosomal RNA, 378 nt
Filed under: uncultured bacterium
Lineage: Bacteria
Description: bacterial SSU rRNA
Rfam family: Bacterial small subunit ribosomal RNA
Source: RNAcentral